This 20-nucleotide non-coding RNA is filed under the name Chrysemys picta (Painted turtle). Its record names the gene cpi-let-7a-3p. Lineage: Eukaryota; Metazoa; Chordata; Testudines; Emydidae. The record is from miRBase by way of RNAcentral. RNAcentral also lists the same sequence under 3 other names.
CUAUACAAUCUACUGUCUUU